Molecule: ribosomal RNA, 794 nt
Filed under: uncultured Bacillota bacterium
Lineage: Bacteria; Bacillati; Bacillota
Description: bacterial SSU rRNA
Rfam family: Bacterial small subunit ribosomal RNA
Source: RNAcentral
UGGAGCAAUCCAUGAGUACAGUGGCGUACGGGUGAGUAACACGUGGAUCAUCUACCUUCUAGUGGGGAAUACCUCCGGGAAACUGGAGACAAUACCGCAUAAGCUCGUAAGAGGAAAGCAGCAAUGCGCUGGAAGAGGAGUCCGCGGCUGAUUAGCUAGUUGGCGGGGUAAUGGCCCACCAAGGCGAAGAUCGGUAGCCGGCCUGAGAGGGCACACGGCCACACUGGCACUGAAACACGGGCCAGACUCCUACGGGAGGCAGCAGUGGGGAAUCUUGCACAAUGGAGGAAACUCUGAUGCAGCGACGCCGCGUGAGCGAUGAAGCCCUUCGGGGUGUAAAGCUCUUUCGACGGGAACGAUAAUGACGGUACCCGAAGAAGAAGCUGCGGCUAACUACGUGCCAGCAGCCGCGGUAAUACGUAGGCAGCAAGCGUUGUUCGGAAUUACUGGGCGUAAAGAGUGUGUAGGCGGUGUUCCAAGUCUGGUGUGAAAUCUCCCGGCUUAACUGGGAGGGUGCAUUAGAAACUGGAAUGCUAGAGGAUGGGAGAGGUAAGCGGAAUUCCUGGUGUAGCGGUGAAAUGCGUAGAUAUCAGGAGGAACACCUGUGGUGUAGACAGCUUACUGGACCAUUUCUGACGCUGAGACACGAAAGCGUGGGUAGCAAACAGGAUUAGAUACCCUGGUAGUCCACGCCCUAAACGAUGCAUACUUGGUGUGAGCGAUUCAUUUCGUUCGUGCCGGAGCUAACGCGUUAAGUAUGCCGCCUGGGGAGUACGGUCGCAAGGCUGAAACUC